Molecule: ribosomal RNA, 427 nt
Filed under: uncultured fungus
Lineage: Eukaryota; Fungi
Description: eukaryotic LSU rRNA
Rfam family: Eukaryotic large subunit ribosomal RNA
Source: RNAcentral
GACCUCAAAUCAGGUAGGACUACCCGCUGAACUUAAGCAUAUCAAUAAGCGGAGGAAAAGAAACUAACAAGGAUUCCCCUAGUAACUGCGAGUGAAGCGGGAAAAGCUCAAAUUUAAAAUCUGAUAGUCUUCGGCUAUCCGAGUUGUAAUCUAGAGAAGUGUUAUCCGCGUUGGACCGUGUACAAGUCUCCUGGAACGGAGCGUCAUAGAGGGUGAGAAUCCCGUCUCUGACACGGACUACCAGGGCUUUGUGAUGCGCUCUCAAAGAGUCGAGUUGUUUGGGAAUGCAGCUCUAAAUGGGUGGUAAAUUCCAUCUAAAGCUAAAUAUUGGCGAGAGACCGAUAGCGAACAAGUACCGUGAGGGAAAGAUGAAAAGAACUUUGGAAAGAGAGUUAAACAGUACGUGAAAUUGUUGAAAGGGAAACGC